UGUUUUAGUGGUGCAUGGAGACGUUUUCGUACAGGAAGAUCGUCUGAUUGUACUUUCUACCAUAGCACAUUGAAAAUAUUAACAUUCUGAUUUUCCUUGACGAAACGUCUCCAUGUCCUUCUCGAACA
Molecule: non-coding RNA, 128 nt
Organism: Marchantia polymorpha subsp. ruderalis
Lineage: Eukaryota; Viridiplantae; Streptophyta; Marchantiopsida; Marchantiales; Marchantiaceae
Source: the annotation of a GenBank genome assembly